GCGAAGCAUUGUAGGCAGUGCAUAAGUCCAGUGGGGUUACUCUAUAAGGCAUUACGAAUAGCAAUACGUUGCGAAAGUGAAUUGAGUUGCGAAGGGCAAUCGGUACUCUGUAACACUUUUUUACAUUGUAAACAGUGUUGCACUGCUUUCCCGUUGACAUAUCUCGUGUAGUUGACAUUACUGACCGAAACGAAGGAGAAUGAAAACAAAAUCAAUAACAGAAAAGUGAAUUAGUGUAGAAAAUUUACAGACAAAUAUAAUUAAAUUUGAAGAGUUUUAUAUAUAAAAGUAAUUUUAAAUCAAUAAGAAAGGAGUGAAUAUGGAUUCCGUUGUGUUAUGGGAAGAAAACACAUAAAAUGAACGAGUUGAGCGGAAAAUUAUUAGAGAAAAGUCCAAUGUGAUGAGUCUUAGUGAAAAAAAUUUCGUGCAAAAUGUCCAAAACACAACUUUUGCAAUGUCUUCAGAGGAGAAAAAUGCAGCGAAACGGGCUUUUUACUCAGUGUCUGGAAUUCCAGGAGUAAUUGGAGUGGUGGAUGGUACUCACAUCCAAAUGAUACGACCGGCAGUGAAUGAGCAUUUAUAUUUCAAUAGGAAAUUAAAGCAUAGUAUAAACGCUAUGGUGAUAUGUGAUCAUAAGAUGAUGAUAAAGGCCGUUAACGGUCGUUUUGCUGGGGCGUCAUGAUUCACAUGUGUGGAAUUUGUGAAGCGAGCGCCAAUAUUUACAAACCAAUUAUGUGAAUGGAGAAAUAGGAAUUCGCAUUCUUGAAAUGCUGCUGAUAAAAACUCUGCUGAAAGUUACUACAACUUACAAAUUUUAAAAAGCCAGAUCCCUUAUCGAACGAGUAUUUGGAGUAUUAAAAGCGGUUCCGAUGCGUUUUAGCUGCUAGGGAACUAGA
Molecule: long non-coding RNA, 896 nt
Organism: Bactrocera latifrons
Lineage: Eukaryota; Metazoa; Arthropoda; Insecta; Diptera; Tephritidae
Exons: 4
Source: RefSeq, a predicted model, not a curated record